UACGGGGGGGGCAAGCGUUGUUCGGAAUUACUGGGCGUAAAGGGCUUGUAGGUGGCCAACUAAGUCAGACGUGAAAUCCCUCGGCUUAACCGGGGAACUGCGUCUGAUACUGGAUGGCUUGAGUUCGGGAGAGGGAUGCGGAAUUCCAGGUGUAGCGGUGAAAUGCGUAGAUAUCUGGAGGAACACCGAUGGCGAAGGCAGCCCCCUGGGCCAACACUGACGCUCAGGCACGAAAGCGUGGGGAGCAAACAGG
This 253-nucleotide ribosomal RNA is filed under the name uncultured bacterium. RNAcentral describes it as "partial 16S ribosomal RNA". It matches the Rfam family "Bacterial small subunit ribosomal RNA", at positions 524 to 776 of the family's 1533-position model. The record is from RNAcentral.